This 418-nucleotide ribosomal RNA is filed under the name uncultured bacterium. Its description in RNAcentral is "bacterial SSU rRNA". It matches the Rfam family "Bacterial small subunit ribosomal RNA", at positions 30 to 453 of the family's 1533-position model. The record is from RNAcentral.
AUUGAACGCUGGCGGCAUGCUUUACACAUGCAAGUCGAACGGUAGAGGGGGCAACCCCUUGAGAGUGGCGAACGGGUGAGUAAUGUAUCGGAACGUGCCCAGUCGUGGGGGAUAACGUAGUGAAAAUUACGCUAAUACCGCAUACGAUCUAUGGAUGAAAGCAGGGGAUCGCAAGACCUUGCGUUAUACGAGCGGCCGAUGUCAGAUUAGCUAGUUGGUGAGGUAAAGGCCCACCAAGGCGACGAUCUGUAGCUGGUCUGAGAGGACGACCAGCCACACUGGGACUGAGACACGGCCCAGACUCCUACGGGAGGCAGCAGUGGGGAAUUUUGGACAAUGGGCGCAAGCCUGAUCCAGCAAUGCCGCGUGCAGGAAGAAGGCCUCGGUUGUAACGUAGCUUUGUUACGGUAACGGAAAA